This is a non-coding RNA of Phrynosoma platyrhinos (Desert horned lizard), 72 nucleotides long. NCBI's taxonomy places the organism in Eukaryota, Metazoa, Chordata, Lepidosauria, Squamata, Phrynosomatidae. The record is from the annotation of a GenBank genome assembly.
GGCAGCGUGAUGUAGUGGUUUGAGUAUUGGACUACGACCCUGAAGACCAGGGUUCGAUUCCCCACUCAGCCA